RNAcentral lists this long non-coding RNA (961 nucleotides) under Felis catus (domestic cat). Its description in RNAcentral is "lncRNA (ENSFCAG00000052895.1)". The record is from RNAcentral. Lineage: Eukaryota; Metazoa; Chordata; Mammalia; Carnivora; Felidae.
CCUGCAGGCAGUGACCUUAUUGCCUUGUUAAGGCUCAUUACUUGACUACUGAGUUCGGUUCUCACAUUUCUUCAAGUUCUGCAACUUCCUUGCACUUCAUGGAGAGAAGUCGUGUAUCUAGUGGGUUGGCAGCCUUGGCGUUCAAAGGGGAGAAGCUUCGAUGUUCCCGCCAGCAUGGGCACAGUCCACAAAACACAGCCGUUUCUUCACCAGUUGUGGCUGAGACUUGGAAGGAAGUUUCUGGACUGGAAUGGCUGAACAUCUCUCCUCAAGAUUUGGGGAAUAUAAAGAAAAAUUCUACACAAGAAACUUGGAAAAACAUCAAAGCACAGAGAUAAAUGAAUAAAAUCUGUCUGGGAAACAUGGAAAGACUUCUUCAUACCUCAUGGAUGCCCAUGUCUCCAGAUUUCUAACACUAGGUUUUCCAGGGUCUUUUGCCACUUCUCUUGGCAGCCCACAGAGAUGUACUUUCUGGCUAUACUCCACAUCUCCCAGGGGAGGACUCCUGAUAUUGAAAGGAAAAGAGAACUGGUGUAAGUGAUACACUUUCCAGGUCCAGAUAUCCAGCAAGUUUUGAGCCUCCUUAGACCAAAUUUCCUUCAUUUACACAUGCAGUGUGUCAAACUGUGUUAUUAGGAAGGUCUGUGGGGAAUCUAAAGUGCUCAGACUCUGAAAAGGUGGGAACAACAUCAUCUAUGUCAUCCACUCUGAAUUACCCAAAUAGUGAUGCAGAUUAUUUAAGGCCUGUAUGUCACAUCUCUGUUUGAAAAGGGUUGUUGGGAUCACACUGCUGCAUUUCUACAGAGUCCUUGGAAUGAGAGGGGAAAGUGGACAUGGAUGUCAUUGGAAAGGGAAAAUGCAGAAGCAAGAUGGUUGGGUUACCAUCACUUUCUGAAAUAUAAAGAUGUAGGAGUGCUUGGGUGUUGCUGGAGUUGGAGAAAUAAAUGGGAAGUUUAUCCCA